Molecule: long non-coding RNA, 1291 nt
Organism: Oncorhynchus gorbuscha (pink salmon)
Lineage: Eukaryota; Metazoa; Chordata; Actinopteri; Salmoniformes; Salmonidae
Exons: 3
Source: RefSeq, a predicted model, not a curated record
CACUAGUCACCGCUCAACUCCAUCAUAAAUCGUGGAAUUUUCUGCUACCUUUAGUCUUUUUCGGCUGGGUAGUUAGCUGCACACCUAGGGAACAGUCAAGAUUUGCACAUGGGUGUCCUAAAAGUCUAUCAAUUUUUAAAGCAAAAUACAUGUCUAAAGAUUUCUUUUCAGUAUUGCCGGAUCCGGAGUGUUCCCACUACUUAGAAAAAACUAAUAUUGUGGCGCUGCCCCUUUUUAUGACGCUGCUAGCAGCCACGAGUGAGUGCUAGCUAGCCAAGCACCACAACACAAGCAUACUAUACAACUGCUACUGUUCUUCCAGAGACAAAUGGAUGGGUCUGUGAACUUCUACAGAGACCUGGACCACUACAAGAAUGGCUUUGAGCAUGCUGCAGGAGACCACUGGCUGGGGUAAGGGCUUUUUAUUGAUGUGGACUGGGUUGUACUGCACCAGAUAUUUGUGAUGCCCUCUCCCACUACAACAUCCAGAGGUUUUCCACCUGCGACCGGGACCAGGUCAGCAGCCAUGUGAACUGUGCUGAAAGUUACCUGGGAGGCGUCUAGUAGACCAAGCGCUACAGCGCUAACCCCAACUGUGUCUAUAGCCAGAAUAGUCUGCAAAAUUGCAAAUGGAUCACAACUAAGCCCCAAAAGAGAUUGUAUUUGAAAAUAACAAUUUUAUACAUUGAUUACAUUAAGACACAAUCACAUAAUUAUGUCUCUUUUUUGUGUGUGUGAAUACUUGGGAACAGAUUUCAGUAAUUAAACAGAUUUUUUUUGCUGAAUUCCUUUUUACUAAAAACCUUGGGGGGCCCAAGAAAAUCACUCACGGCUGGUUUUGGUCACCUGUUGCCACCCGCUGCUAUACUACAAUGUAUGUAGGCCUAUACUGUUUUUUGUUUUGUUUGUCUGUGAGUGAGACAGGCUUGAAAUAAAACAACCGAUGUUAUUCUAUUGAAAGCUAUGUGUUAAUAAGCCAUUCAAUGUUCAUUGGCCAACAUAAGCACAUAGGUAUGUGUGUACAUGUGUGUGUUUAGGAGAGUGUGUGCUGUUUGUGGCUGCCUCCCUAUUUAGUGCAAUACUUUUGACCAAGUAGUACACUAUAUAAAGAAUAGGGUGCCAUUAAGGAUGCAAUCUGUGAGUGCAUAGUGGCAUGUAUCAACACUGUAGCCCAUGCUCUGAGUUCCUCCCAUUCCACAGAACAGGGGCUCAGCUACUGGUUGCUUGCUGAUAAUGACAGCAACGGACAGAUAGACUGACUUCCUCUCUCUCUCUCUGUCAUGGUGUUGUG